AGGAUACACCUGUUCCCAUUUCGAACACAGAAGUUAAGCUCCCUAGCGCUGAUGGUACUUGGUGGGAAACUGCCUGGGAGAGUAGGACGUAGCCACGU
This 98-nucleotide ribosomal RNA is filed under the name Clostridioides difficile. The record is from RNAcentral. Lineage: Bacteria; Bacillati; Bacillota; Clostridia; Peptostreptococcales; Peptostreptococcaceae.